Molecule: ribosomal RNA, 253 nt
Filed under: uncultured bacterium
Lineage: Bacteria
Description: partial 16S ribosomal RNA
Rfam family: Bacterial small subunit ribosomal RNA
Source: RNAcentral
UACGGGGGGGGCAAGCGUUGUUCGGAAUUACUGGGCGUAAAGGGCUCGUAGGCGGCCAACUAAGUCGGACGUGAAAUCCCCAGGCUCAACCUGGGAACUGCGUCCGAUACUGGAUGGCUUGAAUCCGGGAGAGGGAUGCAGAAUUCCAGGUGUAGCGGUGAAAUGCGUAGAUAUCUGGAGGAACACCGGUGGCGAAGGCGGCAUCCUGGACCAAUUCUGACGCUGAGGAGCGAAAGCCAGGGGAGCAAACGGG